This 491-nucleotide ribosomal RNA is filed under the name uncultured bacterium. RNAcentral describes it as "partial 16S ribosomal RNA". It matches the Rfam family "Bacterial small subunit ribosomal RNA", at positions 28 to 507 of the family's 1533-position model. The record is from RNAcentral.
GAUGAACGCUGUCUACAGGCUUAACACAUGCAAGUCGAGGGGAAACGACGGGGAAGCUUGCUUCCCCGGGCGUCGACCGGCGCACGGGUGAGUAACGCGUAUCCAACCUGCCUCUGACUGAGGGAUAACCCGUCGAAAGUCGGCCUAAUACCUCAUGGCAUCGUCUGCGGGCAUCCAACGACGAUUAAAGAUUUCAUCGGUCAGGGAUGGGGAUGCGUCUGAUUAGCUUGUUGGCGGGGUAACGGCCCACCAAGGCUACGAUCAGUAGGGGUUCUGAGAGGAAGGUUCCCCACAUUGGAACUGAGACACGGUCCAAACUCCUACGGGAGGCAGCAGUGAGGAAUAUUGGUCAAUGGGCGGGAGCCUGAACCAGCCAAGUAGCGUGCAGGAUGACGGCCCUAUGGGUUGUAAACUGCUUUUAUGCGGGGAUAAAGUGAGGGACGUGUCCUUCAUUGCAGGUACCGCAUGAAUAAGGACCGGCUAAUUCCGUG